This 333-nucleotide unclassified non-coding RNA is filed under the name Hevea brasiliensis (rubber tree). Lineage: Eukaryota; Viridiplantae; Streptophyta; Magnoliopsida; Malpighiales; Euphorbiaceae. The record is from RNAcentral.
GUUGUCACCGUCUUGCAAAAGAACGUGUAAAGCUCGAUGAAUGAGAAAGGAAAAAGAAAAUGGCUACCAGUUUUGGAGUGUGACCAAACUUUAGGCAAUAGUUGGGAGGAAGGAGUCUUCAAGAACAGGGAGUAAGAAGAAUAGAAUUUUGAAGGAAAGAAGAAAAAAGAUGUAUCAAUUAAAACCAUUAGAUUUUCCACGUUGAUUUUAUUUUGUGCACUCAUUUGCUCUUAUGCUCGUGAAUUAACAUCCUCUGCUGAUUGUGUAUUUUUGUAUUUAAAUGUUAAAUUUUUUUAAAAUUCAUAAAAAAAUUAAUUGAGAUGUCUGUUAGGC